Peromyscus maniculatus bairdii (prairie deer mouse) is the source of this 1626-nucleotide non-coding RNA. NCBI's taxonomy places the organism in Eukaryota, Metazoa, Chordata, Mammalia, Rodentia, Cricetidae. The record is from RefSeq and is a predicted model, not a curated record.
CAACAUUCUUCUUUUCCUAUCCCAACAUUCCCCCCCUGGGCCCCACAUUCCUUACCCCAAACCCAGCAUUCCGAUAUCCCAUCUCUACAAUCAAUUCAACAUUCCCUCAGACCCAGCAUUCCACCCCUUCAAUGCCAGCAUUCCAUCUCUCAGUCCCCCAAUGCCAACAUUCCAGCCCUUCAAACCCCAAUGCUUUCACCCACGUCCUUCUAAUUUACACAUUCCACCCAGUGCAUGCAACUUGGAAAGGGCAGUGGGGUCUGGGCCUAUCCCGUUGGCAAGUUGGGUGUCCUUGGGAGAACUUCCAGAUAUGCAUACAUGGUCUUUGACCAUAGAUGCUGGUACCCGGGCUCGCAGAGCACUUUCUCAUUUAGAAGAUCUCACUGGGGUUCCACAGUCAUCCAUGCUGCAGGACUCAGCUGAUUUCUUUCACUCUGGUGACCUUGCCCCACCCCCUGGGGUCUUCAUCCUUCAGACCUUGCUGCUACUCUUUUGGAUUGGAAGGGGACAGACUGACUAUCUGGUCUAGGAUGACAACGUGAGUAGGGCCUUGGGAGGUCAGGGAUGAAGCAGGAAGGGGCAGCAGGCUGGGACUCACAGUGGUCUUUUCUAGGCAGUGUAGCAAGUGGUGGUGCUGGCUCUCGAUGAGUGACGUGGUCUUGCCCAUGUGCUCCUCUUCCGGGGUGCCCUAGUGAGAAAGAAAGAAGGACUGAGCACGACGCUGUUGUCUUCUCCUCUCUUCAGCCUCUUCAUUUCUUCACAGAAGCUCUCGCGGACACCUACCGUCAGCUCCAGGGCUUCGUUGAGGAGUCCAUUGCGCUUGCUGUGCAGAAUGCAUACAGUGGGAACAGGAAUCAGAAACCCAUCCACGGAGAAGAUGGAAAGGUCUUUCCGUCAAGACUCUCUCAGUCAGGAACUCCAGCUGACUGCCUCAGUUUCCCCAGUUUGCUUCUGCUGGAUGAGUGUAAGUGCUCAAUGUGAUGAUGCUGUUUCUCUGCUGCUGUUUGUUCUUUUACUUGGAAGCCUCACCUGAGGGGACACUCUGCUUUGUCCAGGACUCUCUCAAUCAAGAACUCCAGCCAGCUGCCUCAACAGAGCUUUCCCAGUCAAUUUCUGCUGGAUGUUUGUAAGCCCUCGAUUUGACGCAUUUACCUGCUGUUUGCCUUUUCACUCGAUUUGAUGUUGUUUUGCCAUCUAUCCGCUGUUUCAACCUACCUGUUCCUUGCUAUUUACUCCUUUUCCUUUUGCUUGCUACAUGCUCGAUAGACGCAUUCAUUCAAAACCCAAAGCAUGGCUAUUGUCGAUCAUUCUUGGACUGUACAGACUAUACCUUUGGGACCACACCAAUCUCUUUUAAAGAAAUUUGAAGCUUCUCUGGAGCUACUGGCAGCUAUGUUUUCUGCUGUGGGGAAACACCGCAUUGCUGUUAGGAAGGGAAAGGCUGAAGCACAGAAGGAGAUCAAAGCUGGAAUAUGAUGGAGUUUGAGCUGUGGUCCUCGCUGGGUUUGAGGGCCAGCUGUACCCUUGACUUUUCACCACAUCUCAGUUGAUCUAUCCGGGCCCCACCCACAUGAUCCGGCUCACUAGCGGUUUUGCUUACUCUUCGUUCAUUUGGAUCCAAUAAAG